UACGUAGGGGGCAAGCGUUGUCCGGAAUCAUUGGGCGUAAAGAGCGUGUAGGCGGCCCGAUAAGUCCGCUGUGAAAGUCCAGGGCUCAACCCUGGAAUGCCGGUGGAUACUGUCGGGCUCGAAUCCGGAAGAGGUGAGUGGAAUUCCUGGUGUAGCGGUGAAAUGCGCAGAUAUCAGGAGGAACACCAAUGGCGAAGGCAGCUCACUGGGACGGUAUUGACGCUAAGACGCGAAAGCGUGGGGAGCAAACAGG
This 253-nucleotide ribosomal RNA is filed under the name uncultured bacterium. RNAcentral describes it as "partial 16S ribosomal RNA". It matches the Rfam family "Bacterial small subunit ribosomal RNA", at positions 524 to 776 of the family's 1533-position model. The record is from RNAcentral.